This 528-nucleotide ribosomal RNA is filed under the name uncultured Methylotenera sp. Its description in RNAcentral is "bacterial SSU rRNA". It matches the Rfam family "Bacterial small subunit ribosomal RNA", at positions 835 to 1362 of the family's 1533-position model. Lineage: Bacteria; Pseudomonadati; Pseudomonadota; Betaproteobacteria; Nitrosomonadales; Methylophilaceae. The record is from RNAcentral.
AUCCAUGAGUAACGCAGCUAACGCGUGAAGUAGACCGCCUGGGGAGUACGGUCGCAAGAUUAAAACUCAAAUGAAUUGACGGGGGCCCGCACAAGCGGUGGAUUAUGUGGAUUAAUUCGAUGCAACGCGAAAAACCUUACCUGGCCUUGACAUGUACGGAACUUUCCAGAGAUGGAUUGGUGCUCGAAAGAGAACCGUAACACAGGUGCUGCAUGGCUGUCGUCAGCUCGUGUCGUGAGAUGUUGGGUUAAGUCCCGCAACGAGCGCAACCCUUGCCAAUAAUUGCCAUCAUUUAGUUGGGCACUUUAUUGGGACUGCCGAUGACAAAUCGGAGGAAGGUGGGGAUGACGUCAAGUCCUCAUGGCCCUUAUGGCCAGGGCUUCACACGUAAUACAAUGGUCGGUACAGAGGGUUGCCAAGCCGCAAGGUGGAGCCAAUCCCAGAAAGCCGAUCGUAGUCCGGAUUGAGGUCUGCAACUCGACCUCAUGAAGUCGGAAUCGCUAGUAAUCGCGGAUCAGCAUGUCGCGG